Molecule: ribosomal RNA, 453 nt
Filed under: uncultured bacterium
Lineage: Bacteria
Description: bacterial SSU rRNA
Rfam family: Bacterial small subunit ribosomal RNA
Source: RNAcentral
UACGGAAGGCAGCAGUGGGGAAUAUUGCACAAUGGGCGCAAGCCUGAUGCAGCCAUGCCGCGUGUAUGAAAAAGGCCUUCGGGUUGUAAAGUACUUUCAGUCGUGAGGAAGGUGUUAAGGUUAAUAACCUUAGCAAUUGACGUUAGCGACAGAAGAAGCACCGGCUAACUCCGUGCCAGCAGCCGCGGUAAUACGGAGGGUGCGAGCGUUAAUCGGAAUUACUGGGCGUAAAGGGCACGCAGGCGGUUAAUUAAGUUGGAUGUGAAAUCCCCGGGCUUAACCUGGGAAUGGCAUUCAAGACUGGUUAGCUAGAAUCUUGUAGAGGGGGUAGAAUUCCAUGUGUAGCGGUGAAAUGCGUAGAGAUGUGGAGGAAUACCGGUGGCGAAGGCGGCCCCUGGACAAAGACUGACGCUCAUGUGCGAAAGCGUGGGGAGCAAACAGGGAUUAGAUACC